GAUGAACGCUGGCGGCGUGCUUAACACAUGCAAGUCGAACGGAAAGGCCCAAGCUUGCUUGGGUACUCGAGUGGCGAACGGGUGAGUAACACGUGGGUGAUCUGCCCUGCACUUCGGGAUAAGCCUGGGAAACUGGGUCUAAUACCGGAUAGGACCACAUUUUGGAUGGUGUGGUGGAAAGUUUUUCGGUGUGGGAUGAGCUCGCGGCCUAUCAGCUUGUUGGUGGGGUAAUGGCCUACCAAGGCGUCGACGGGUAGCCGGCCUGAGAGGGUGUACGGCCACAUUGGGACUGAGAUACGGCCCAGACUCCUACGGGAGGCAGCAGUGGGGAAUAUUGCACAAUGGGCGCAAGCCUGAUGCAGCGACGCCGCGUGGGGGAUGACGGCCUUCGGGUUGUAAACUCCUUUCGCUAGGGACGAAGCGUUAUGUGACGGUA
Molecule: ribosomal RNA, 436 nt
Filed under: uncultured bacterium
Lineage: Bacteria
Description: bacterial SSU rRNA
Rfam family: Bacterial small subunit ribosomal RNA
Source: RNAcentral